Molecule: ribosomal RNA, 370 nt
Filed under: uncultured bacterium
Lineage: Bacteria
Description: bacterial SSU rRNA
Rfam family: Bacterial small subunit ribosomal RNA
Source: RNAcentral
UUCGGGAGCGUGGAGACAGUGUCGGUGCAUGGUUGUCGUCAGCUCGUGUCGUGAGAUGUUGGGUUAAGUCCCGCAACGAGCGCAACCCUAUCCCCAGUAGCCAGCAGUCGGGCUGGGCACUCUGAGGAGACUGCCAGGGAUAACCUGGAGGAAGGCGGGGAUGACGUCAAAUCAUCAUGCCCCUUAUGAUUUGGGCUACACACGUGCUACAAUGGCGUAAACAAAGGGAAGCGAGCCUGCGAAGGUAAGCAAAUCCCAAAAAUAACGUCCCAGUUCGGACUGCAGUCUGCAACUCGACUGCACGAAGCUGGAAUCGCUAGUAAUCGCGGAUCAGAAUGCCGCGGUGAAUACGUUCCCGGGCCUUGUACAC